UUCGAUUCAAAAUGGCGGACUUCCUGUUGGGCUUAGGGUAUGGCUCCAAUUGAGUUUUAUGUACGUACUGACGUGCUACAUAUGUGUACCAAGUUUCGUGAGUCUACGUGAAACAUACUGCAGGGGCUCAGUUUGUUUAAAUUUUGCUAGCCAUUUUUGUGCGCCUAUUACCGAAACCCUAAAAUACAUACAUUUUCACCAGACUUGAUGCGACCGCCAAAUUUGGGGAGUUUUUGAGUAUCUUAGGCCCCUCAAAAAGGUGAUUCAUGUGC
Etheostoma cragini (Arkansas darter) is the source of this 272-nucleotide long non-coding RNA. RefSeq lists it as uncharacterized. The record is from RefSeq and is a predicted model, not a curated record. The transcript is spliced from 2 exons. Lineage: Eukaryota; Metazoa; Chordata; Actinopteri; Perciformes; Percidae.